Cornus florida is the source of this 157-nucleotide small nuclear RNA. RefSeq annotates it as U1 spliceosomal RNA. NCBI's taxonomy places the organism in Eukaryota, Viridiplantae, Streptophyta, Magnoliopsida, Cornales, Cornaceae. The transcript has a single exon. The record is from RefSeq and is a predicted model, not a curated record.
AUACUUACCUAAACGGGAUGUAUGAGUGAUCAAUGAAGCCCAUGGACUAGGUUGGUGACAUCCAUUACACUCAGGAGGGGUGCCUGUCUAAGGUCUACUUAAGUAGUAGAGCCUACGUCAUAAUUGGUGGUAAUGGGGUCUGCGUUCGAGGCCCAGU